GAUAUUAAACCACUGUAUGGUGGGCAUAUUACUGUAUGUAACUUACUAUGCAUAGAGUACUUACUGACAAAAUUAUUUUUUGUACAUUCCAGAACCCCCUGAAUGAUGUAGGCUAUGGGGCCACAUAAGACUUUGUCCAUCCAGGGUUACAUUGAACGACAACUUUAAACUAAAGAACCCCCUGAAUGAUGUAGGCUAUGGGGCCACAUAAGACUUUGUGCAUCCAGGGUUACAUAGCAGGACAACUUUAAGCUAAAAAGCUACCAGACUGGGAUUUUAGUGUACUCCAGGAUCUACCAAAUACUACUACGAAGUGUACAGUGCAUAAUAUAGUGUUUAGUGUAUAAUCUAACCUAAGGAUUAAGUGUAGUACAUUGUGCUUUAUAGUGUCACAAGAGUUUAAUAAAGAAUUAUACCUUCAAGAACCAUCCUUUGCCAUUGAAAUAACCACACUACACAUCAUGCAAUAUACUUGCAUGUCACACAGGUAAGGUCUCUAACUUUUUCUUAGUUUAAGGCAUAUUUCCAAGUGUCGUUCCGGCUUUACGACGAUUUUCGGCUUACGACGCGCCUCAAGAACGGAACCCCCGUCGUAACCCGGGGACUGCCUGUAUUGUAGGUACUAGGUUGGGCUAACAUACACCAUGCUUCGGUAUGGCGAUUAGCUUA
This is a long non-coding RNA of Macrobrachium nipponense, 669 nucleotides long. RefSeq lists it as uncharacterized. NCBI's taxonomy places the organism in Eukaryota, Metazoa, Arthropoda, Malacostraca, Decapoda, Palaemonidae. The transcript has 3 exons. The record is from RefSeq and is a predicted model, not a curated record.